GCACUGGUAGUUCAGUGGUAGAAACCUCAACUCCCAUGUGGAAGACUCAGGUUCGAUUCCUGGCCAGUGUA
This 71-nucleotide transfer RNA is filed under the name Loxodonta africana (African savanna elephant). It matches the Rfam family "tRNA". From Rfam's summary of the family: Transfer RNA (tRNA) molecules are approximately 80 nucleotides in length. Their secondary structure includes four short double-helical elements and three loops (D, anti-codon, and T loops). Lineage: Eukaryota; Metazoa; Chordata; Mammalia; Proboscidea; Elephantidae. The record is from Rfam by way of RNAcentral.